UUUCCCUCUUUGUCACCCAGGCUGGAGUGCAAUGGCGCGAUCUUGGCUCACUGUAACCUCUGCCUCCUGGGUUCAAGCAAUUCUCCUGUCUCAGCCUCCUGAAGUACUGCCUGCCACCACACCCAGCUAAUUGUUUUGUAUUUUUAGUUGAGAUGGGGUUUCACCAUGUUGGCCAGGCUGGUCUUGAACUCCUGACCUCAGGUGAUCCAUCCGCCUUGGCCUCCCAAAGUGCUAGGAUUACAGGUGUGAGCCACUGCUCCCGGCCUGUGUCUCGCUCCUUUCACUUAAUAUGAUGUUUUCAAGGUCUAUCCAUUUUGUAACAUUCUCAGUACGCCCUUCCUUUUUCUAGCUAAAUGAUAUUACACUGUAUGGAUAUACCAUAUUUUGUUUUUCCAUUCAUCAGUUGAUAAACAUUUGAGAUGUUUCCACUUUUUGGUUGUUAUGAAUAAUUCUGGGAAUAUUUGUAUACAAGCUUUUGUGUGUACAUAUGUUUUGGGUUCUCUUGGGUGCACCUAGGAGUGGAAUUGCUAGGUAAUACAGUAAAUGUAUGUUUAACAUUUUAGGAACUUCUGGACUGUUUUCCAAAGUGGCUGCACUAUUUUCUGUCCUCACUGGCAAAUGUAUGAGGAUUUUUAUUUCUCCACAUCCUUAUCAAUACUUUCUUGUCAAUACUUUUGAUCGGUGUCUCAUUGUGAUGUUAAUUUGCCUAGAUUGAGUGAUUUUUGGUGCAUUUGGUUUAGUUGGUUUCACUUCAUUUAACGAAUGCCUUUUUAGUGUCAUAAAAAUUAGGAGCUGAAAUGAAUAAUACAUAGUCCUUCCUUGCAAGGAGCUCAUGGUUCCUUCGGGAAGACAGACAGCAAACAGUGACAGUACAUCUUGUUAAGUUCUCCCUCUUGUUAAGAAGGGAGUCGAGGACAAGAUGCUCUGGGGAGCAGAGAAGAGGAACACUUAACCCUGCUUGAAGGGUGGGAAAACAUGUAAGAAUGGAGGCUCCCCCCUCCCUUGCAGGUGCCGCUCAAGAACCACUCUCUCCAAGAUGUUUUCCUGGAUUUCCUCAGCCUAAAAUAAUCCCUCUUUUUCCUGGGAGUGUUGGGCAGUGCUCAGAAGAGGUUUUUGGGGUCAGAGAUGUAAGGACUUCUUUGACUGGCUUCUCCCAACAGAAACAGAUUCCAGCUGCGGAGCAAGGGCCAUGCCAUCUGGAACAGAUGACCUCCAAGGACACCAUAGCAAAGAAAAGGAGAACUGGAAGCCCAUGUGCCUUAAUCCCCUCAUCCCAGAGGCCUCCCUGUUCCCUGAAAUACAACAAUAUUGAUAUUAAGCCAAUUAAUAACCCCACAGUUAUUUCUAAGUGUUUAAGUGAAAGGAAAAGUCACACAUAUCUCUCACCUUAA
Molecule: long non-coding RNA, 1391 nt
Filed under: Callithrix jacchus (white-tufted-ear marmoset)
Lineage: Eukaryota; Metazoa; Chordata; Mammalia; Primates; Cebidae
Description: lncRNA (ENSCJAG00000086300.1)
Source: RNAcentral